RNAcentral lists this non-coding RNA (45 nucleotides) under Schistosoma curassoni. The record is from RNAcentral. Lineage: Eukaryota; Metazoa; Platyhelminthes; Trematoda; Strigeidida; Schistosomatidae.
AUCCAGCUGACGAGUCCUAAAUAGGACGAAACGUGCGCCCUGGAU